RNAcentral lists this non-coding RNA (25 nucleotides) under Drosophila melanogaster (fruit fly). The record is from RNAcentral. Lineage: Eukaryota; Metazoa; Arthropoda; Insecta; Diptera; Drosophilidae.
CAAUUCUGCAACUCGAGCGACGCCG